RNAcentral lists this ribosomal RNA (482 nucleotides) under uncultured bacterium. RNAcentral describes it as "partial 16S ribosomal RNA". It matches the Rfam family "Bacterial small subunit ribosomal RNA", at positions 28 to 507 of the family's 1533-position model. The record is from RNAcentral.
GACGAACGCUGGCGGCGUGCCUAACACAUGCAAGUCGAACGGAACUGUUUUGAAAGAUUUCUUCGGAAUGAAUUUGAUUUAGUUUAGUGGCGGACGGGUGAGUAGCGCGUGAGUAACCUGCCUUCAAGAGGGGAAUAACAUUCUGAAAAGAAUGCUAAUACCGCAUGACAUAUCGGAACCUCAUGGUUUUGAUAUCAAAGAUUUUAUCGCUUGAAGAUGGACUCGCGUCCGAUUAGUUAGUUGGUGAGGUAACGGCUCACCAAGACCGCGAUCGGUAGCCGGACUGAGAGGUUGAACGGCCACAUUGGGACUGAGACACGGCCCAGACUCCUACGGGAGGCAGCAGUGGGGGAUAUUGCGCAAUGGGGGCAACCCUGACGCAGCAACGCCGCGUGAAGGAUGAAGGUUUUCGGAGUGUAAACUUCUUUUAUUAAGGACGAAAAAUGACGGUACUUAAUGAAUAAGCUCCGGCUAACUACGUG